This 484-nucleotide ribosomal RNA is filed under the name uncultured bacterium. RNAcentral describes it as "partial 16S ribosomal RNA". It matches the Rfam family "Bacterial small subunit ribosomal RNA", at positions 29 to 507 of the family's 1533-position model. The record is from RNAcentral.
AUGAACGCUAGCGAUAGGCUUAACACAUGCAAGUCGAGGGGCAGCGAGGGUAGCAAUACCUGUCGGCGACCGGCGCACGGGUGAGUAACGCGUAUGUAACCUGCCCGCAACAGGGGGAUAACCCGGCGAAAGUCGGACUAAUACCGCAUAAAACAGGGGUCCCGCAUGGGAAUAUUUGUUAAAGAUUUAUCGGUUGCGGAUGGGCAUGCGUACCAUUAGGUAGUUGGUGAGGUAACGGCUCACCAAGCCUUCGAUGGUUAGGGGUUCUGAGAGGAAGGUCCCCCACACUGGUACUGAGACACGGACCAGACUCCUACGGGAGGCAGCAGUGAGGAAUAUUGGUCAAUGGGCGAGAGCCUGAACCAGCCAAGUCGCGUGAAGGAGGACUGCCCUAUGGGUUGUAAACUUCUUUUACAAGGGAAUAAAAUGAGAUACGUGUAUUUUAUUGCAUGUACCUUGGGAAUAAGCAUCGGCUAACUCCGUG